AAUGAACGUUGGCGGCGUGGAUUAGGCAUGCAAGUCGAGCGAGAACCCGCAAGGGGGACAGCGGCGAACGGGGUAGGACAACGUAGGUAACGUACCCUCGGGGCGAGGACAGCCACGGGAAACUGUGGGUAAUACUCGAUAAACUUCCCAAUCAUUAUGGAAGGGGAAGCAAUGGGUGUGAUUCCACCUGAGGAGCGGCUUACGCAGUAUCAGCUAGUUGGUGAGGUAACGGCUCACCAAGGCUACGACGCUUAGGGGGUGUGAGAGCAUGGCCCCCACCACUGGCACUGAGACACUGGCCAGACACCUACGGGUGGCUGCAGUCGAGAAUCUUCGGCAAUGGACGCAAGUCUGACCGAGCGACGCCGCGUGCGGGAUGAAGGCCUUCGGGUUGUAAACCGCUGUCAGAGGGGAGUGAAGUAUACGGGAGUUAUCUCCUGUAUUUGACAGAGCCUCAGAGGAAGCACGGGCUAAGUUCGUGCCAGCAGCCGCGGUAAU
This 498-nucleotide ribosomal RNA is filed under the name uncultured bacterium. Its description in RNAcentral is "bacterial SSU rRNA". It matches the Rfam family "Bacterial small subunit ribosomal RNA", at positions 29 to 524 of the family's 1533-position model. The record is from RNAcentral.